Molecule: unclassified non-coding RNA, 70 nt
Filed under: Mus musculus (house mouse)
Lineage: Eukaryota; Metazoa; Chordata; Mammalia; Rodentia; Muridae
Source: RNAcentral
GAAAGAAUUUUCCUUGACGGACNCAGUUCUGNUUCCUGUAACUGAUCUGCAACAUUGUGGAAAAUGACAG